AUUCAGCGGCGGACGGGUGAGUAAUGCCUAGGAAUCUGCCCGAUAGUGGGGGACAACNUUUCGAAAGGAGCGCUAAUACCGCAUACGUCCUACGGGAGAAAGUGGGGGAUCUUCGGACCUCACGCUAUCGGAUGAGCCUAGGUCGGAUUAGCUAGUUGGUGAGGUAAUGGCUCACCAAGGCGACGAUCCGUAACUGGUCUGAGAGGAUGAUCAGUCACACUGGAACUGAGACACGGUCCAGACUCCUACGGGAGGCAGCAGUGGGGAAUAUUGGACAAUGGGCGAAAGCCUGAUCCAGCCAUGCCGCGUGUGUGAAGAAGGUCUUCGGAUUGUAAAGCACUUUAAGUUGGGAGGAAGGGCUGUCGGCUAAUACCCUGCAGUUUUGACGUUACCAACAGAAUAAGCACCGGCUAACUUCGUGCCAGCAGCCGCGGUAAUACGAAGGGUGCAAGCGUUAAUCGGAAUUACUGGGCGUAAAGCGCGCGUAGGUGGUUCAGCAAGUUGGAUGUGAAAGCCCCGGGCUCAACCUGGGAACUGCAUCCAAAACUACUGAGCUAGAGUACGGUAGAGGGUGGUGGAAUUUCCUGUGUAGCGGUGAAAUGCGUAGAUAUAGGAAGGAACACCAGUGGCGAAGGCGACCACCUGGACUGAUACUGACACUGAGGUGCGAAAGCGUGGGGAGCAAACAGGAUUAGAUACCCUGGUAGUCCACGCCGUAAACGAUGUCAACUAGCUGUUGGGUUCCUUGAGAACUUAGUAGCGAAGCUAACGCGAUAAGUUGACCGCCUGGGGAGUACGGCCGCAAAGGUUAAAAACUCAAAUGAAUUGACGUGG
This 834-nucleotide ribosomal RNA is filed under the name uncultured bacterium. RNAcentral's name for it is "bacterial SSU rRNA". It matches the Rfam family "Bacterial small subunit ribosomal RNA", at positions 90 to 918 of the family's 1533-position model. The record is from RNAcentral.